AUGGAAGGGGAGGAGCGGCGGCUGGCGGCGUCGCUCACGGCGCGGUACUCGGAGUGGGUGCUGGAGGAGCUGGACGAGCUGCGGGGGAGCUUCCUGCUCACGGACCCGGCCAUGCCGGGCCACCCCAUCGUCUACGCCUCCCGGGGCCUCGCGUCGCUCACGGGCUACCCGCGCCGCGAGCUGCUCGGCCGCAACGCGCGCCUCUUCCAGGGCGCCGCCACCGACCGCGCCGCCGUCUCCGGCGUCCGCGAGGCCGUGCGCACCCAGCGCGCCCACCAGGUCGCCAUCCUCAACUACCGCCGCGACGGCUCGCCCCACUGGGUGCUGCUCCACCUCGCGCCCGUCUUCCACGCCGCCGACGGCCGGGUGCUCCACUUCCUCGCCGUCCAGGUGCCCAUCGCCGCCGCGCCGCGCCGUCACCCGGGCCGGCCCGCGGCGUUCGCGGCGUGCCGGGAGGAGGCCAGGGGGGAAGAGGAGCUGCCUUGCGCCAGCCACGUAGGGGAGGUGUUUGUGGAUAUCGAUAAGAGAGGGCUGGAGGCUGAGGAACCACGUAUAGCUAGCGUCUGUGACAAAGAGAUGGCUCUAAGCACAGCAAACAAAAUCUUCUCUACGCUGAACCGCUAUAGCAAACUAACUGGUUUGGUGGUUUGUGAGAGGAGAUGUGAUUCUGUUGGUAUCCCAGCACUCAGCUCUUCGCUAAAUCUCUCUCUCGGUAGAAUCAAACAGAGCUUUGUAUUAACUGACCGCCAUUUGCCUGACAUGCCGAUAGUCUAUGCUAGUGAUGCCUUUCUAUCAUUAACAGGUUACUCAAGAGAAGAAAUAUUGGGCUGUAACUGCAGAUUUUUAAACGGUCCAGGUACUAGUGCGGAGGUUUUAGAGGAGAUAAAUCAACAUAUCUGUCUUGAGGAGGCUUGCACAGUGCAUUUGCUUAAUUACAGGAAAGAUGGAAGUACAUUCCGUGAUCUGCUACAUGUGUCUCCCAUCCGAAAUUCAUCGGGCAAGGUUGGCUUACAUCCUUUUCAGGUCGCGUUUCAUGUGUGGGUUCACCUUGACGAGAGCGCGAAGCAUGAUUUUAGUGGGUUGACCCCUGAGGUAUGGCAGCUCGGUGCUGUUGGUGCUGUAAGAGUUGCAGUUAGAAGCCUGUCUGCGUCAGGUAGCCUGUUGAGACCAUCCCAAUAG
Molecule: ribosomal RNA, 1179 nt
Filed under: Triticum aestivum (bread wheat)
Lineage: Eukaryota; Viridiplantae; Streptophyta; Magnoliopsida; Poales; Poaceae
Description: partial small subunit ribosomal RNA
Source: RNAcentral